This 496-nucleotide ribosomal RNA is filed under the name uncultured bacterium. RNAcentral's name for it is "partial 16S ribosomal RNA". It matches the Rfam family "Bacterial small subunit ribosomal RNA", at positions 29 to 507 of the family's 1533-position model. The record is from RNAcentral.
AUGAACGCUGGCGGCGUGCCUAAUACAUGCAAGUCGAGCGAACAGAUGAGGAGCUUGCUCCUCUGACGUUAGCGGCGGACGGGUGAGUAACACGUGGAUAACCUACCUAUAAGACUGGGAUAACUUCGGGAAACCGGAGCUAAUACCGGAUAAUAUAUUGAACCGCAUGGUUCAAUAGUGAAAGACGGUUUUGCUGUCACUUAUAGAUGGAUCCGCGCCGCAUUAGCUAGUUGGUAAGGUAACGGCUUACCAAGGCAACGAUGCGUAGCCGACCUGAGAGGGUGAUCGGCCACACUGGAACUGAGACACGGUCCAGACUCCUACGGGAGGCAGCAGUAGGGAAUCUUCCGCAAUGGGCGAAGGCUUGACGGAGCAACGCCGCGUGAGUGAUGAAGGUCUUCGGAUCGUAAAACUCUGUUAUUAGGGAAGAACAAAUGUGUAAGUAACUAUGCACGUCUUGACGGUACCUAAUCAGAAAGCCACGGCUAACUACGUG